UUUAAUCUCAAAACGACUCUCGGCAACGGAUAUCUCGGCUCUCGCAUCGAUGAAGAACGUAGCGAAAUGCGAUACUUGGUGUGAAUUGCAGAAUCCCGUGAACCAUCGAGUCUUUGAACGCAAGUUGCGCCCGAAGCCUUCGGGCCGAGGGCACGCCUGCCUGGGCGUCACGCAU
This 175-nucleotide ribosomal RNA is filed under the name Ruellia ochroleuca. RNAcentral's name for it is "5.8S ribosomal RNA". The stretch from base 15 to 170 matches the Rfam family "5.8S ribosomal RNA". Rfam says of the family: 5.8S ribosomal RNA (5.8S rRNA) is a component of the large subunit of the eukaryotic ribosome. It is transcribed by RNA polymerase I as part of the 45S precursor that also contains 18S and 28S rRNA. Lineage: Eukaryota; Viridiplantae; Streptophyta; Magnoliopsida; Lamiales; Acanthaceae. The record is from RNAcentral.